RNAcentral lists this ribosomal RNA (274 nucleotides) under uncultured bacterium. RNAcentral's name for it is "partial 16S ribosomal RNA". It matches the Rfam family "Bacterial small subunit ribosomal RNA", at positions 523 to 796 of the family's 1533-position model. The record is from RNAcentral.
AUACGGAGGGUGCAAGCGUUACUCGGAAUCACUGGGCGUAAAGCGCAUGCAGGCGGUCUAAUAAGUUGGAAGUGAAAGCCUAUGGCUCAACCAUAGAACUGCUUCCAAAACUGUUAGACUAGAGUCUGGGAGGGGAAGAUGGAAUUAGUAGUGUAGGGGUAAAAUCCGUAGAGAUUACUAGGAAUACCAAAAGCGAAGGCGAUCUUCUGGAACAGUACUGACGCUGAGAUGCGAAAGCGUGGGGAGCAAACAGGAUUAGAAACCCGAGUAGUCC